Molecule: ribosomal RNA, 253 nt
Filed under: uncultured bacterium
Lineage: Bacteria
Description: partial 16S ribosomal RNA
Rfam family: Bacterial small subunit ribosomal RNA
Source: RNAcentral
UACGAAGGGGGCUAGCGUUGCUCGGAAUCACUGGGCGUAAAGGGUGCGUAGGCGGGUCUUUAAGUCAGGGGUGAAAGCCCGGAGCUCAACUCCGGAACUGCCAUUGAAACUGUAAGACUUGAGGAUGAGAGAGGUGAGUGGAAUUCCCAGUGUAGAGGUGAAAUUCGUAGAUAUUGGGAAGAACACCGGUGGCGAAGGCGGCUUACUGGCUCAUAUCUGACGCUCAGGCGCGACAGCGUGGGGAUCAAACAGG